Molecule: ribosomal RNA, 254 nt
Filed under: uncultured bacterium
Lineage: Bacteria
Description: partial 16S ribosomal RNA
Rfam family: Bacterial small subunit ribosomal RNA
Source: RNAcentral
UACGAGGGGGGCAAGCGUUGUUCGGAAUUAUUGGGCGUAAAGGGCGCGUAGGCGGUGCGGUAAGUCUGAUGUGAAAUCUCCGGGCUCAACUCGGAGUCUGCAUCAGAAACUGCCGUGCUCGAGUGUGGGAGAGGUGAGUGGAAUUCCCGGGUGUAGCGGUGAAAUGCGCAGAUAUCAGGAGGAACACCGGUGGCGAAGGCGGCUUGCUGGGCCUUACCUGACGCUGGAGGAGCGAAAGCGUGGGGAGCGAACGG